GGUAAAAUGGCUGAGAUAAGGAGGUGUUAGAUUGUAAAUCUAUUUAGGGGAAAAAUUUUCCUUUUUACCA
This 70-nucleotide transfer RNA is filed under the name Phyllothelys sp. 1 JZ-2017. RNAcentral describes it as "tRNA-Tyr". RNAcentral also lists the same sequence under 1 other name. The record is from RNAcentral. Lineage: Eukaryota; Metazoa; Arthropoda; Insecta; Mantodea; Hymenopodidae.